GGGUUGUGAGGUUAAGCGACUAAGCGUACACGGUGGAUGCCCCGGCAGUCAGAGGCGAUGAAGGGCGUGCUAAUCUGCGAUAAGCGCCGGUAAGGUGAUAUGAACCGUUAUAACCGGCGAUACCCGAAUGGGGAAACCCAGUGUGAUUCGUCACACUAUCAUUAACUGAAUCCAUAGGUUAAUGAGGCGAACCGGGGAACUGAAACAUCUAAGUACCCCGAGGAAAAAGAAAUCAACCGAGAUUCCCCAGUAGCGGCGAGCGAACGGGGAGGAGCCCAGAGCCUGAAUCAGCAUGUGUGUUAGUGGAAGCGUCUGGAAAGGCGCGCGAUACAGGGUGACAGCCCCGUACACAAAAGCGCAUGUGCUGUGAGCUCGAUGAGUAGGGCGGGACACGUGGUAUCCUGUCUGAAUAUGGGGGACCAUCCUCCAAGGCUAAAUACUCCUGACUGACCGAUAGUGAACCAGUACCGUGAGGGAAAGGCGAAAAGAACCCCGGCGAGGGGAGUGAAAAAGAACCUGAAACCGUGUACGUACAAGCAGUGGGAGCACAGGUUUACCUGUGUGACUGCGUACCUUUUGUAUAAUGGGUCAGCGACUUAUAUUCUGUAGCAAGGUUAACCGUAUAGGGGAGCCGGAGGGAAACCGAGUCUUAACCGGGCGUUAAGUUGCAGGGUAUAGACCCGAAACCCGGUGAUCUAGCCAUGGGCAGGUUGAAGGUUGGGUAACACUAACUGGAGGACCGAACCGACUAAUGUUGAAAAAUUAGCGGAUGACCUGUGGCUGGGGGUGAAAGGCCAAUCAAACCGGGAGAUAGCUGGUUCUCCCCGAAAGCUAUUUAGGUAGCGCCUCGUGAAUUCAUCUCCGGGGGUAGAGCACUGUUUCGGCUAGGGGGCCAUCCCGGCUUACCAACCCGAUGCAAACUGCGAAUACCGGAGAAUGUUAUCACGGGAGACACACGGCGGGUGCUAACGUCCGUCGUGAAGAGGGAAACAACCCAGACCGCCAGCUAAGGUCCCAAAGUCAUGGUUAAGUGGGAAACGAUGUGGGAAGGCCCAGACAGCCGGGAUGUUGGCUUAGAAGCAGCCAUCAUUUAAAGAAAGCGUAAUAGCUCACUGGUCGAGUCGGCCUGCGCGGAAGAUGUAACGGGGCUAAACCAUGCACCGAAGCUGCGGCAGCGACGCUGAUGCGUUGUUGGGUAGGGGAGCGUUCUGUAAGCCUGCGAAGGUGGCCUGUGAGGGUUGCUGGAGGUAUCAGAAGUGCGAAUGCUGACAUAAGUAACGAUAAAGCGGGUGAAAAGCCCGCUCGCCGGAAGACCAAGGGUUCCUGUCCAACGUUAAUCGGGGCAGGGUGAGUCGACCCCUAAGGCGAGGCCGAAAGGCGUAGUCGAUGGGAAACGGGUUAAUAUUCCCGUACUUGGUGUUACUGCGAAGGGGGACGGAGAAGGCUAUGUUGGCCGGGCGACGGUUGUCCCGGUUUAAGCGUGAGGGUGUGUGUUCCGUAAAUCCGGUUCACUUUAACACUGAGGCGUGACGACGAGGCACUACGGUGCUGAAGCAACAAAUGCCCUGCUUCCGGGAAAAGCCUCUAAGCAUCAGGUAACAUCAAAUCGUACCCCAAACCGACACAGGUGGUCAGGUAGAGAAUACCAAGGCGCUUGAGAGAACUCGGGUGAAGGAACUAGGCAAAAUGGUGCCGUAACUUCGGGAGAAGGCACGCUGACAUGUAGGUGAAGUGAUUUACUCAUGGAGCUGAAGUCAGUCGAAGAUACCAGCUGGCUGCAACUGUUUAUUAAAAACACAGCACUGUGCAAACACGAAAGUGGACGUAUACGGUGUGACGCCUGCCCGGUGCCGGAAGGUUAAUUGAUGGGGUCAGCGCAAGCGAAGCUCCUGAUCGAAGCCCCGGUAAACGGCGGCCGUAACUAUAACGGUCCUAAGGUAGCGAAAUUCCUUGUCGGGUAAGUUCCGACCUGCACGAAUGGCGUAAUGAUGGCGGGCUGUCUCCACCCGAGACUCAGUGAAAUUGAACUCGCUGUGAAGAUGCAGUGUACCCGCGGCAAGACGGAAAGACCCCGUGAACCUUUACUAUAGCUUGACACUGAACAUUGAGCCUUGAUGUGUAGGAUAGGUGGGAGGCUUUGAAGUGUGGACGCCAGUCUGCAUGGAGCCGACCUUGAAAUACCACCCUUUAAUGUUUGAUGUUCUAACGUGGACCCGUUACCCGGGUUGCGGACAGUGUCUGGUGGGUAGUUUGACUGGGGCGGUCUCCUCCUAAAGAGUAACGGAGGAGCACGAAGGUUGGCUAAUCUGGUCGGACAUCAGGAGGUUAGUGCAAUGGCAUAAGCCAGCUUGACUGCGAGCGUGACGGCGCGAGCAGGUGCGAAAGCAGGUCAUAGUGAUCCGGUGGUUCUGAAUGGAAGGGCCAUCGCUCAACGGAUAAAAGGUACUCCGGGGAUAACAGGCUGAUACCGCCCAAGAGUUCAUAUCGACGGCGGUGUUUGGCACCUCGAUGUCGGCUCAUCACAUCCUGGGGCUGAAGUAGGUCCCAAGGGUAUGGCUGUUCGCCAUUUAAAGUGGUACGCGAGCUGGGUUUAGAACGUCGUGAGACAGUUCGGUCCCUAUCUGCCGUGGGCGCUGGAGAACUGAGGGGGCUGCUCCUAGUACGAGAGGACCGGAGUGGACGCAUCACUGGUGUUCGGGUUGUCAUGCCAAUGGCACUGCCCGGUAGCUAAAUGCGGAAGAGAUAAGUGCUGAAAGCAUCUAAGCACGAAACUUGCCCCGAGAUGAGUUCUCCCUGAGACUUAGAGUCUCCUGAAGGAACGUUGAAGACGACGACGUUGAUAGGCCGGGUGUGUAAGCGCAGCGAUGCGUUGAGCUAACCGGUACUAAUGAACCGUGAGGCUUAACCUUACAACGCCGAAG
RNAcentral lists this ribosomal RNA (2921 nucleotides) under Salmonella enterica subsp. enterica serovar Saintpaul. RNAcentral describes it as "23S ribosomal RNA". It matches the Rfam family "Bacterial large subunit ribosomal RNA". Lineage: Bacteria; Pseudomonadati; Pseudomonadota; Gammaproteobacteria; Enterobacterales; Enterobacteriaceae. The record is from RNAcentral.